GACGAACGCUGGCGGCGUGCUUAACACAUGCAAGUCGAACGGAAAGGCCCUGCUUGCAGGGUACUCGAGUGGCGAACGGGUGAGUAACACGUGGGUGAUCUGCCCUGCACUUCGGGUUAGGCUUGGUCAACUGGGCCUAACUCCUGACAGGAGCCAUCUUUAGCGGGGUGGUUGGAUAGUUUUUUCGGUGUAGGAUGAGGUUGCGGCCUAUCAGCUUGUUGGUGGGGUAAUGGCCUACCAAGGCGGCGAGGGGUAGCCGGCCUGAGGGGGUGUACGGCCACAUUGGAACUGUACGGCGGCCAGCAGUAGGACAGGUGGCGGCAGGGGGGAAUACUGGACGAUGGAAGGCAGCCUGAUGGAGCAAGGCCGCGUGAGCGUAGAAGGCUGUUGUGAGGUAAGCACAAUUGGCUAAGGACGAAUGUUUGUUGUGACGGUACCUAGACAGGAAGCACCGGCUAACUACGUG
This 466-nucleotide ribosomal RNA is filed under the name uncultured bacterium. Its description in RNAcentral is "partial 16S ribosomal RNA". It matches the Rfam family "Bacterial small subunit ribosomal RNA", at positions 28 to 507 of the family's 1533-position model. The record is from RNAcentral.